This 374-nucleotide long non-coding RNA is filed under the name Eucalyptus grandis. RNAcentral describes it as "long non-coding RNA (EGRA_LNC007633)". The record is from RNAcentral. Lineage: Eukaryota; Viridiplantae; Streptophyta; Magnoliopsida; Myrtales; Myrtaceae.
GUAAUCUUCUAUUAGAGUUUCUAUUUUCAUCCCAACAGUUUUACUUUCUUACUUAUACCAUAGCGUCAUUAGAAUUUUUAUAUCAAUUGCAAAGAGCCAACAAUGAAAGAGACUGAUUGCUUCUUUCACAUUUUUGCAUGCGCAAUAGCAUAGUGAGUUUUAGUACGCAUGAUUGCAAGACCAAAAUUAUUUUCUCAUGGAAUUGAGUGAGAUUAAAAUUAAAUAAUCCUGACAAUCUAAUACUUUAACAAAUUAUCUUCAUGUAUUUCCUUUGUUCUUUGAUUUGUUCAAUCUUUGCUAUAGUGAAAAAAGAUUCUUUUGGUGCCGGUUUGCCAUGAGAAUCAAGAUACAAAUCAGCCUGAUCUUACGAAUUU